RNAcentral lists this long non-coding RNA (315 nucleotides) under Linum usitatissimum (flax). RNAcentral's name for it is "long non-coding RNA (LUSI_LNC007479)". Lineage: Eukaryota; Viridiplantae; Streptophyta; Magnoliopsida; Malpighiales; Linaceae. The record is from RNAcentral.
UUCUUUUCUUUCUUUAUGGCUUUUUUAGAUAUCAGUUUUUUUUUUAAAUGGGGACAAUAAUCACACCCUUAGCUGGACUCGAAAGUAACCAGUCUCUAACCCACACUCCAAGCCUCGGAAAGGUUGGGAAUACGGCGGACCUCUAGGGUCGCCCAACGUGUUUCGAUUGUAAUCAAACCCCACGACAUUUUUAAUAGAAAACUCAUUCGGACUCCUCCCGCCUGCUUUAGCCUUGUAACAAUCUAGACAAACUUGUUUGGGGUGGAUACAACAUACACACUACCGCGAUAUAGAACAAAAUAAUAGAAGGUGACA